This 62-nucleotide transfer RNA is filed under the name Escherichia coli. RNAcentral's name for it is "tRNA-Arg". It matches the Rfam family "tRNA", at positions 1 to 59 of the family's 71-position model. From Rfam's summary of the family: Transfer RNA (tRNA) molecules are approximately 80 nucleotides in length. Their secondary structure includes four short double-helical elements and three loops (D, anti-codon, and T loops). Further hydrogen bonds mediate the characteristic L-shaped molecular structure. tRNAs have two regions of fundamental functional importance: the anti-codon, which is responsible for specific mRNA codon recognition, and the 3' end, to which the tRNAs corresponding amino acid is attached (by aminoacyl-tRNA synthetases). tRNAs cope with the degeneracy of the genetic code in two manners: having more than one tRNA (with a specific anti-codon) for a particular amino acid; and 'wobble' base-pairing, i.e. permitting non-standard base-pairing at the 3rd anti-codon position. The record is from RNAcentral. RNAcentral also lists the same sequence under 1 other name. Lineage: Bacteria; Pseudomonadati; Pseudomonadota; Gammaproteobacteria; Enterobacterales; Enterobacteriaceae.
GCAUCCGUAGCUCAGCUGGAUAGAGUACUCGGCUACGAACCGAGCGGUCGGAGGUUCGAAUC